UAUAGCUCUGUUAAAAGAGCUGUAGUAGGGGGUGUUGUUUUGAAGUGAGUGUUAGGAAUGUUCUCCAGGCUUUGUUGAGGACUGGCUCUCAGGAAUCAGCCACUCCGACAGUGUCUACACUGAUUUUUUCAUCAGUAUGUCCACAGGUAUUUGUAAAAAGACAUGGAAUGCUAUUUCUCUCUGCAUUUCAGCAUAAGAAGUUCCUUUUUUCCCAUUCAGUGCUGCCCGUACAGCUCCAUGCAAGUCCGGAGCGGCGGCGAUUGGAGGGCACUGAUUUCCAACCAUGCUCUAAGAUGAGAUUGUGGACGAAUCCCCGUCACGGCUACCCAAGCCUGGAUCAUUUCGACAACCCCAUGCUCCCAAACGUGGAGAACACUGCUUUAAUUCUUCUGAGCUGGAUUAAAGGGAACAUAUGCCAAUGGCCCCGCGCGGCAGUGACAGAGCGGCCAUAACUCACUGCUACCAGCGAGCUCCGACUAUUUAUUUAUCAAGUUCAGCCGACAGACUUCUAAGUGAUUUAGAUGUUCCCCAAGAUAAAAACAGUGGAGUAGUCAGGGGCUUUGCAAAUCUAGCGUUGCAUCAGCAACUGAAAGGGACCAAGAGGGAGGGAGGUUGAAGCAGCUUGUGCGUAAAUGAGCACGUUUUGGUCUUCUUGCUGACUGACAUUACCAAAGACAGCGCAUUUUGCUGCUCUUUAGGCACGUCCCUUAUUUGUUUUCGGUACAGAAAAGGAAACAGUAUAGGGAGGACGGGACAGAGCAGCACACGAGACGCCAAAUCAAAAGACAAGUUAAAAAUGGCACGGAUUAGAACAAGGGAGGCCUUGGGGAGAGGGAAAAAAAUAAUCGGUUCCUAAAGGGAAUGAAAACGUCACCUUCAGAGGAUGACAGGAAUUCCUCAUGUAGGGGAUUUAGCAGUGAAGGACAGAUUCCCUUUUUUUUUUUUUUUUUUUAAAUUGAAAGGCAAAAUAUAUGUUAAGCCUGACAAGCAUUUUUGAACUUUGAACUCUCUGACCUUUGAAGCCCCCAGAAUGAACCUGGGCUGACUCUGAAGGAAUGGCAACAAAUGGCAGAGUCCGUCCCUCUGUUGGCUUCAUCUCUCCUUUACAAUCCAGACAAGGAAGCCCAAUUUUGCCCCACUUUGCACCUUCCCUCCGUCUUUUCUCUGCUGCUGCCUGGGGCCAGCACAUGAGACAAUCCUCUGUGGUUUUGGGAUAUUUUCUGAGUUUAGAGUUAUCAAAUAAAAAUAAUGUGUCUUAUGGGAAUGGGAGUUUAUCUUCCCGUCAUGAGAACAGUAAAUGCCAGACAUUGCCCUUAAACCUGGAAGCCUGCAGCAGGCACAGUGCAAGAAGAGUGAGAGGAAAGUACAUGGAGCAAAGCCUCUCACCUCUGCUGCACUGGGUUUGCUGGAGCAUUUCUGAAUUGAGAAAAAGGAGAGAGAUGUUUGCGUCCCCUCCUGAGCUUUGCUGCUCCCUCCCUACCUGUUCUACGUCCUCAUAAAGUGUAAAAUAGUGCCAUCUACUGACACUGUAUUUCAAUACUCUCACCAAAUGGCUCCAACAAGCUCUGGGCACUCAGCAGGAGACCUCAAGAGCUGAUUUUGUAUCCCUUGGUCACUGCAUUAACUCUCUAACAUGCUGCUUGGGUGGCAAUAAAGCAGCCAUAGACCAAUAAUUGAGAUGAAUGUUAGUUUCUGAUAACACCAAAGUCGCAGGGUAAAAAUGAUAUUAGCCCCAAAGGUAAAAAUCUAUCAUGAUAUCACCUUGCUUGUAACUGCCAUCACCCAAAAGCCAACCACAAGAGCAACCCAAUGUUGGACAUAUAUGCCCAAUACCAGCGAGGGGAGGGUUAUUUUGAAAUACAUGUAUAACCCAAGUUUUUAAAGUACAUAAACUGUAUGGAAGGUGCGCACUCAUCUCAGGACAGCCUCAACUUGGAAUAGCUUGCACAACCUACUGUGUUACUUCCCAGAUGGUGUUUUCCCAUUUCCCAGCAGAUUUACCCCAAAAAUAUCCUUUGCUUUACCUCCUGUGUGGGUGAGGUACACGCAGCCCUCCCAGGCUGGCUCCUGCAAGCUGCUCAGCUCUCCAGUCCCUCCUCCAUCCUCCCACCCAUCACACUGCAGCACGCUUUGGCUCCUUGGCCAGAAGUCCUGACGUGACAAAUGAAUCUGUGUAACUUUCCAUUUACCAGCCUCCUCAAAGAGGAUAUGCAAGCGUGUGAUUACAGCGCGUUAUCAGAUACCAGCACUGGGAUUUUUCCCUCUCCUGUUGUUUUUAUGAUGACGAUGAGUUGUUGCGAUCUUUAUUUUACAAGACAGCGCUCGUUGGCUGGGCCGGUAGAGGAGGGUCACUGAUUGCUGUGACAUCCCUGCAGGUAUAAAGGCCGGUGAUUUACGGCAGGGGAAAUUCAUAUUAACUAUAAAUAUCUUAAUAACUAGCUGCGAGGGGGAGAGAGCGGGCUGUCCAUCCAAUGCAGACUAAUUGCCAUUUAAUGGGCAGCGUCUAAAACUCUCUAAAACAAUGCUCCUGGCAGAGGGUGUUGCUGAGGUUAUAGAAAGGGCUUUUAAUCUGCGAGAGGAAACAGGGCACAGCAGUGCGACUGCUGCCCUGGGCUCAGCCCUGCAAGCCUGCAUCUCAUGGGAGCUUGUUAUCUCAUGGCACACAGAUGCUGUCUCCUGUCCCUGGCCAAUGACUGGACCCAAAACACCCGACUCUAUGUGUCCUCCAGCUACCCUGUGCCAAAAAACGUACCUCAAAGCUCCUACACAUCAGACUGGAAACUCAGGCUCUGGUUAAUUUUGUAAUGUUUGAGUGCUUUUCAUCCAGGAAGACUUACAGGUAGCUUAGGGGUAAAUCGGAAGAGAAAGGUGAACAACUUUGGUUGUGCCUUUUGUGGUUUGCCUUUUGGGCUUCCUGCAAAGUGGGAGGUCUGGAGACACCUCUGCUCUUUAUGACCACCCUAUGGGCCCCUUGUCCAAAAAGAACUCAUACUCACCAGCUCACCCCAUUGGUUUUGUGUUCUUAAUUCAGGAAAGACUGCUCUUUGGAGCAGUGCCUUCCCCCAGAUCUCUACCUCCUUGCUCCUCUCUUAGCUCAGACUUCAAAGGAAUCCAACCCCUGUGGCACUUUCACUGAAGGGGAGACAAAUGAGUCUGGGGAUUGUUCUCAUUUUUUUUGACGUAAAUCCCAUGGCUUUUGGUUCCCAGGAUCUCUUUCAACCUAUAGGGAGGUUUCGUCUGUAUCGUGUCUAAGCCAGAGGACCUCCUCAGGGUUUACCCCCUUAUUAAGGAAUUUAUGAAAAUAAAAGGACUGUGAGGUGACCCAUGGUUCUGCCUACAUGUAGGAUCAUUUACAGUUUCUUUGAGAUCAGCUGGCAGGAAGCACUGCUCGUAUAUUAAACGUCUCCUGCCUUUCUACCCAGGAUCAUGGCUGGGGUUCUGCACAGAAGUGAGUGAUGAGGAGCUGCAGAAAUAGUUCAAAGGUCUGCCUGUUCCCCUGGUCAGCCAUGCUAUGUGAUGGAGUGUAGCUGAAAAUGUUAUUAAUGUACCUACUGUUUUAGCAAAAACUCUGCAAAGUUCCCUGCUCUAAGAGUAGAACUGCUUACCGCUAAUGUUAGAAUCAGAAUUGUUUGAGUUGGAAGGGAUCUGUAAAGGUCAUCUUGUCCCAUCCCACUGCAAUCACCAGGGACACCUACAGCUCCAUCAGGAUGUCCCUGUUCGUUCCCUUUUCUCACGUUUAAUGAAUUUUAAAAUGAGCUAUGAAAUAGUUAUCAAUAAAUUUGGACUUUGAAAUUAGUCUAAAGUUCUAGAAAUACUCUACAAAGAGCAUUAUUUGGAUCAGAAGAAAAUGUCUCCGAAGAGCAGGGGGAUUGGUAAAACACUUGUCAAAGGAGACAAAUGCUCCAUUAUGCUGUAUUUAUUUCCCAGCCUGCAGUUAGGCUGUGUGAACUGCUCACAGCUGUCCCGAGGCCGGGCAGGCUCCUGGAGAGCCCGUCCUCAAACAAGCCAUAAAUGUGGGCUGCAGAUGCUGGUUUAUGGAACAACUGCACACACCCAACAGAUCCUCUCUGGUAAGUACAGAAAGUGUGGAGAUGUUGCUCCUCCUUCUCUGUGUCUCUUUUAUUUUUGCUGCUUGUCACUCCGUUUUCACUCAACACUUCCCAUUUAAGCAUCAGUAUCGACAGACCAGUGUGCUGGCUGCAGAUAACUGCAAUUGUUUAGGUGUUCCAGUACUCUUGUAGUCUCCCCGGUAUCACCCAGAAGAGUUUAACAAGUCAGAACCUGAUAGGUAAAUUGCAGCCUUCAUCACCAUGACUUGCAAAAUCAGCCUUUUCCAUAACCACCUGGAAAAAAAAAAAAAAACAACCCCAAUCUGCACAGCAAGAUCAACAUUUCCUCCAGAUAUCAAUGCCUCUGCAGCUCCAGCAAACGUGAUGGCAGAUGCUGCCAUCCCUCAGGGCUGGUUUUCAUGGACUAAAAAUCAGCUCUUUAAGCUUUUCUGAAAUCAGGCUGCAACGCAAAACCUCCCCAAGCUCUUCUCAAACUGGAGUCACUUGUCUGUGUUGAAGGCCAAUUACCUGCAUGAGCAAUCUUCCUUGUAAAGUCGUUUAUUGGAAAAGAGCACAUCACUUCUCUGCCCCUGUUCAAAACAGAGAUGACUCCAGUGCAGAUGCAAGUUUGCAUUUUGGAAGCAAAGCCAAUGUGAAAGCACCAAGAAGAGAAUUAAAGUUGCCUGAUGCACAGUGCUUAAACAUGCUCCUGCCUCAUGGCACACAAAAUUUGGUGUCAGAAAACAAAAGGGUGGAGGACACAUUGCUGCAUUGGGGGUCCACCCUCCACCUCUUCCUUACAGAUGUGCAUCUGAAAAGGGACCCCAGCAUCCCCUUGUUCUGAUUUGUGUUUGAACACUGAGGCAACAAAUGCAUUAUCACUCUGUAAAAUGUGAAAUGGAGGUGGAAGUAGAAUUUGUGGAGGGAGAAAAUGGGUUUUAUAGGACUGAGUGAGGAGAGGUGAGCUCCAGGCAUGCCAGCUCCACCUGGGGAUGGACCAAGCUCUGCCAGUGCUGAGCUUGCCCAGUUUACUCCAGAAAAACACUGAAUUUUCUCAUCUCCGGUCUGGAUUUGCAGUGGGAGAGCUGAUGUUUAACCCAGGGGAUCAGAAAACAGACCCCACCAUUUUCACUAACCAAGAUGAAGACAGAGGGGUGGAGGUUCACCAAACCACUUUCAUUAGAUGCUCUCCCAGAUCCAGAGGCCUGCCCUUCAGCACAUUGCCAGCACACCCCAGCCGUCUUCACCAGCUUUUCCUCUACCCUGUGAUAUCACAGCAACCCCACAAAGCAUCGCCAUACCUACAUGAGGUGAGUUGACCUCCUCUGGUCAACUCCAUUCCACAUUGCAAAUGAGCAGCUCCGCAGCCUACACCUUAUUUUUGUUCUUGGAAAUAAAUCUGACUUGAAAAAUUGCUCUGAUAAAUGAACGAGCAGAUUCAUGGCAUGGAGGGUAAUCCUCAAGGGGAAUGGAAAGAAUACAGUUUGGCAGUAAAACGCUGGGUAGUUGGUACAUAAAUUUCUCACAAGCAUGAAGACAACUGGCAGGCAAUGUCAAAGGCAUUAACACCUACCAUUGAGCGUAAUUAUUUCAGUCUGUUACCAGUCUCAGGGUUAAUAUACAUUUCAAAAACUCUGCGAGAAAUCAAAGUCCGGGAGGUCUGUGCAAGCCAUUUCAGGAGGCUGUAAAUUUUAUUUUAAAAGGAAGAAUUUAGAAUUGCAUAAACAGUGAACGUUUUUCUACUGAAGAGAAGAGCAUUUUACAGCAUCAGCCUUAGCCAACAAUCAGGUUGUCUUUUGCGUUAAAAAUCUUUAAAUUCAAAAUUACAUGCAUGUUUCAGGGGAAAAUAGCUGUAGAAAGACUAAAACACUAAGGGAGAAAGCCUCAGCAAAACGUCUCCUCCCACAUACAUGCUUUUCCCAUUAAACGCAGUGUGUGGACUGUGAUAAGAACUAUUUGUAGACGAUUUACUCGUGCUGAUCAUUCCUAUUCCCCCCCACAUGUUAUCCUCAGAUACAACCAUCUCAGCUACCUAUGACCACCAGGGACCUCGAGAGAAGCCAGCUCGUGAAAAUGUCUUCAUCCAAACAACAGCAAGUAUAAUACUUUAACAGCAGAUGCAACAGGAAAAACACAAUUGAUGGCUGCAGGGAGGAUUAUCCACACUGGAUAUCCAUCCUGCAUGGAAAAGAUAUUUUGCUGUCAGUGUUUUAUAAUACUCUUCUGAAAUGUGGGGUACAUAUUCUGGUGUUUAGCUAGCAACUGAUUCAGAACUGACACAGUUACUACAACAUGGUCAUAUCCAAGGGACUUCUACUACUCAAGAGAACUUGAGCAUCAGCCUCUUGGAAGGCUGAGAAACGCCCCUGUGGAAAUCCCAUUCCCUGCACUAUCUUUCUUUUCCUUGCACUGGUUUUAUGGACAUCUUGAUUUUUUUUAAAUACAUGGGAAAAUUUUCUGCCAGAUUCUAAGUAAUCUUACACAAGCAUUCUGCCAUUGCAAUAUAUAUAGCAUCCUUUUCAAGCAAUGGUGCCGUUUUCUUUUAGCACCAAAUGUUCAGUGGAAGAUUUGGAUGGGCUAUUUGUCAGGACUUUAAGCCACUUUGUCACAAUGAUGGUGAUAUGGCUCUGCUUGCUGAAAGCCUUUCCAGCCAUGGCACCAGGAGCAAGAAGAAAUUAAUCUCCUUGUAAGUUAUUCAUCAUUCAUUGUCAGCAGAGCCAGCGGGCUGGUUAGCCUUCAGGUAUUGGUCACCUGUGAAAUAGGUUCAGCCUCUGAAGAGCAAGGCUGAGGAAGGUAAUAAAGCACUCUGAAAAUUAUCUUCCUCCACUGCCUUCAGCUCCCACUGCCAUCUGUUUGUGCACAGGAGGAUGUAAUUCCUUGUUUUCCUGUGUACAAAUUCACCACAGUUAAACACCACGAGCUAAAUCCUCAUCUGAAGGAAGUCAAAUUCUGUGGGAUAAUGCUGAUUUACACCAGCCCAGGAGCUAAUCCUUUGAAUGUGGACAGAUCUUUGAGUAAAAUAAAACCAACAGCAGCAAUUCAUUGAAAAAAAAACCCUAUAAAUAGAUAGAUUAAAUGAUACCCAGAAGGAGAAAGAACUCCCCUAUCCAAAAUCAAAGCUCAGGGCAAUAGCCAAAAAGCAAUGGUAUCGUUUAGGGGCAGAUGAAAGAACAUGUAAGUUCAGCAUGAUGUCAUGGCUGUUUAUGCAGUUAAAUCGCUCUUUAUCAUACACCAGACACAUAAUGACUUUCUAAGGCUCCCACUGGACGGAUGGUCCAUCUCUGUAAUAAAUGUUGACAAGUUUUAUAUAAAACUGUAUAUCAUUUUCAAUUCCCAGCGUAGCCAUUUGAACCUGUGAUUAAUAACCUCACAAAUCUUAUCUGUUUGAAAAUAAGAGGAGCUGGGUUUGUUUCCUUCAGAUUAGGGUUCAGGGCUUAACAACAGGAAAAUAGCCUGCUGAGAUCACUCUGGUUUUCAUGGCCCAUAAAAGUAAAAAUUAAGAAAAUAGAAUUUAAAAAUACGUGAAACACUCAUAUCACAAAGCAAAUAAGAUACUUCAUGAGUCGCGAUAACAUUGAUUCAUGAAGUCUGUAACCAAACAAUUGUUUUAUAUCAGGCAGAAUAACUGUGAACGGAGAGAUAGGCACUUGUACAUUUAAAUUAAAACACUAAUUGGCCGAUAAGAUGUACCGCAAAAAAAUAAUCUCCAGACUCGAACUUCUUGGUGGCUUGUCAAAGUGAAAUGAGAAAGCUUUGGGCAAAGAUAGAGGGCAAAAUAGGGAAAGAAUUUGGGAUCUCAGGUCCAAGUUUGGCUUGGCUACAGUUGGUAUCCAGAAACACGACAAAAGAGAGAAUCUUUGUGGAUCGGAGUCCCUGGGAUGCUGCUGUAUCAAAGGCAACAUUCGGGCAGUGGUAAAGCUGGUGGAUGAUCUGCAAUUGCUUUAGCUCAAUCCAAGUGGGAGGACUUCCCAUCCUCACGCGCUGCUCCUGCUCAAUCAACUGCAGUUGUAAAUUUGUUUUGUUUCAGGCUUAAAACUCGGUACUUAAAGAAUUCCUACCAUGCCCUCUGAAAAGAACUGUCUCUGAACCUCUACAACUGUAUCCUCUUCUUCCAAACUCCCCCACUACCAUUUUGCACCAACAACCAAAGCCGUUCACCAGUGGCUGAUGAAAAACGCUGAUGAGUCCGUUUUCCUGCAGAACACCAGCAGAAAAGGAUGAAAAGGAAAGCAUCCAAUCUGUGUUUUUCCCCUGGCGUGUAUCAAAAUACAUUCAUCUGAAAUAUGUCCUCUGGUUUGAUUUUACAUAGCAAUUUUUCCUGAGAAAUCAGGUACUCCGUGCCAAGAUUUUAAUUUAUUUGGAAAUGCAGCUUUCCGCCCAAAAUUGUCAGCAGAUUUUCUCUUAAAAGUGCUUAGAGUUAUUGCAAUAUUAAAAAGAAAAAUUACCUUGCCUUUGACUUCCACACAGUGAGCUGCUCACGGAGGCUGGAGAUAAGCACUGAGAACUGAGUGCACUCCUUAAUUAUAUCUCCUUGAUAUAAAACUUCUUGUCUGCCUUUGAUUUUAUGGCACUUCCAUACAAAGUCAGGGCAGGGAUGAAAAGAGCCACUUUUGCUUUUUGUUCAGUGAAAACUUUGUGUGUCACCAACAAUGCACAUCAGUGAGGGAAGCAUGGAACUGAAAAAUGAGGUGGUUUGUGGAAAAUUUGAAUAACCUUUGGAAAAAAACACAACUUAUCCCUGCAUUUUCAGAUCAAUGUGAAUGUAAGGAUUUGAGGACAACAGUUGUCCCUUCCAGGGCCUGGAUCUGAUCAGGUUAACACAUUUUUAGGGGAAAAAAAAUCACUGAUUUAUUUAUUUUUUAAGAGUGUUGUUAUUCAACCACGGAACACCUCCUUCUGUCAGCCUGACAAAUGCUCAAUAGGCCCCAGGUUUCCAUCAGCCAGAUGGAAAUUUUCUGCUUUGUGACAAUGGAAAAACAGUUUCACUGAAAAAUGAGGGAAAAGAGUCAACAAAAUCAGUCAAUAUUGAUAGGUUUUUAGGAUGAGAAUAACACAUUCCAAAUAAUAUCUGGUUAAUAAUGAAUGCGUAGGAAUAUAACUUAGUCCUGCUGUUUUAAUUUGUCCUUUUAUAGCAUCCAUCUAUUUAAAAAAAAAAAUUAAAAAAAACCAAAAACAUAGAAACUCUUAAACCCAAGUGCAAUAAGGUGGCUACAUAAACUUGAAUGAUUUCACUGCUCACCAGUUCAGAAUAUAGAGAUCAUUACACACUCAAAAAAAUUGCAUGACAUGGUAAAGUGAAAUAAUACAUAAGAUGUCAUUUGUUUGGACAGCAACAUAGAACCAGGAUCAGCCUUCAUGCCACCGUGGAUCACCAAUAACACCAAAGUGGGUGAAAGUCUGGGAAAUAACUGCAUAGUGAGACUAAUGCAAACAUGUGGCAUGGAGGAAACAAGUGUGUUUGUCCACGAGAGGUCUCCAGAGCCCUGUGUAAUCACAGGGUAUUCCCAUGAAUUCCUCUUCAGUGUUGAAAUGAGAGGGGUGUUUGAGAUGGGUUUAGCUCUGCUCACCAGUGCACCUUUGGAGAGAGAAGGGCAAGAGGCAUUAGAGAUCCCCACAGGUAUGGACACGUGGUGAUGUGUUAACCAUGAAUCCCUCUUUGUGUAUGUGCUCAUAGUAUAGAAUUGAGCCAGGAAUGGGCUGAAACCAUCAUGGUCAGAGCCCCAAAGUCUGGUGCAGAGGGAGUAGCAAGUUUGAGGGCCUCUGCCCACUGCUUUUCCAGGGAGGUUUGGGUGCUCAUCUCCCCUCAUCAGUUUAUGGGAACCCCCAUGUGAGCCCCUAUGGAGCCAUCCUGUUUGUUCUUCCUCAGCUGGGAGGAAAAGUAUGGAUGAGGGAUGUGAAGAAGAGGCAGGCAAAUGUCCCCAGAGGGGAGAACCAGCAUGCAGUUGCAUCCAUGCUUUCCCAGCAAAACACACAUUAGCCCACGGUUCAAGAAAGCAGUAAUGGAGGAGAGUAAAUAUUGCUCAGUAUUCUCAGUUUCUGGCAGCAAUUUAGAGGAGCUGCACUACUUGAUUACACAUUCUACAAGUUUUUGAGCAGUUUCCUUACAGCCAACAUUAACGUUAAGAUUUGUCUUGACGCUCUCUAGGACCAGAACAAAGCAGAUCACAAAGCCAAACCAGAAGGAGCAAGACGCUGAAGGCUGUCAGGGCAUUCACAGAUAACCAGGAGAAAAGGUAUUCAUGCUUGUGAAAGUGUCUUACCUGGUAUCAAAUAACUGGUCAGCCAAUGAUGGGGAAGAAAGGGAAAAGUGUCAAGUCUUUUUUGAAAUAGUUUUACCUGGAGACCACUAAUAUGCUGGAGGGUAUUUGCCAAAGAUGCAAUCUUAGCAGAUGAGUGGCUACUUCAGCAAUUUCUCUGCUGAAAUAGUGGGAACUCCCUAGAUGUUGACCUUUCAAGAUUGUCAACAUUCUGAAGAGCUUGCACAAUUGUACUACUGAAGCAUUAAUUUUGGCUUCCCUACAAACAUUUGUCCUUCACGCACCUUGCAGGAUAGUCACACAAAGUACAUUUUGAUUCCGAACAUCCAGAAAUCAGAUUAAGCUUUGUUUCUGCUCUAAUUAGUUGCUGACCAGGAAGCAGAAGAAUUACUAAACACUAAUAGAUGUUAAUCUCCAUCCAAGAAGACUCCAUAGAACAAAUGUUUUCUGAAAGUGUUUAUUCAUGAUAUCGCACUGAGUGAUGUGGGUUAGAGGGCAGAGUGGGGAUGGGUUGGGGUUGGACUUGAUGACCUUAAUGGUCUUUUCCAGCCUUAAUGAUUCUAUGAGCACAUUCUAAGAAUUCAUUCUCACAACAUCACAAGAAAAGAUUGAUUUUUUUUUUCUGUUUGUUUAAACUGUAAGUUGCAUAUUGUUUGCUUCCAGAAGGAUAUUGUUUCUUUAUCCUCUUCUAAGUAAAGGGAAGGACAAAAUCAAGUCUAUAAAAAUGCAGCUCCGUGCUGCAGAACGUCAUUCUUUCUACCUAUUCUUUCUACUAUCCUGUGAACAAAGAGUAAAUCAGAAUAAACGAAUUAGACAGCUCAUUUAAAAGACAGCAGAAGAUCAUUUUUCUGCUAUCCACUUUUUCUCAGCUGGUCACAGUGAUUGGGAUUCUCAGAGGGUAUGGCUGGAGGAGCACAGAAGAUGUAAUGUGCUGAAUUAGCAGUGGUUGUACCAAGCGCAGAUGCUCUCUUAAAAGCCGUGUAAGCACAGAUAGAGUAUGGAUAAUGAUAAUCACUCUGAGUCUGAGCUACGGUGUGAAACAUGAACUGCCUGCAAAGAGUGGAAAUGGGCUCAGCUUUCUCUCACCACAGGCCUUAGCCCAAGACAAAGCACUUUGAAAGUUCCAGCAACCGCUUACGCCCUUUUUAAUUGUUAAGAUUUAUCAGAUACUGCCGUGAGGACAGCAGAAUUCAGCACUACAACUUUUAAAGAGGAACCAAAUAAACCUUUACCUCCUCCAGCAUGUAUUUCACCAAAUCCCUGUUGGCUGUUGUAAGUAGGGCAUAAAUCUCCAUAGCUAAUACCUUUGCAUAUUCUUCCUUGGAACUCUUUUCGCUCGCUUCCUUUACCAAAAAUGGAAGCAAACCCCUGCAAGACAAACACCGUGUGCUGAGCCGCUCAGCACCAGCUUCCUCCCAUCACGACCCCGUGCAGCCUUCACAAAGGCAGAGGCCCCCAGAAGAUCUGGGCUUUGAACAACGAAUGCCUUAAGUGUGGUUUUCAACUUUUCUUUUCUUUUUUUUUUUUUUCUGAUUUGUGGACCAUUAAAAACGAUCCAGCAGGGAUACAGGAUACCCUUUAAAAUAUGGAGAUUUCUGCAUAGCAUAUGUGAACUCUUCUUUUUUUCCCCUCUUUCAUGGAGCCCCAGGGAGCUGCUGAAAACGCCAGCCCUGGGAGAUCAAACAAGACCAGGCUCUGUGAAUCAGACGGGAAACAAAUUCAAGAGACAAGACCCUAGCGGAAACACCCUCUGGAGUUGUUCGAAAAGACAAAUUGGAAGUGCAAGUCCCAGCAGACAGCAAAACCAUCCUGAGCUCAUGAAAGGAGAAGGCAGCAACCUGAAGUGAUGCUUUUCUGUGGGACUGCAUUGUCGAUGGGAGCAGAGCUUCCCACCAGUGCCUGUGCUGUGGCAACGUGAAAGGCAACAAGCACAUACGUGUACUCUCCUGCUCCUGCACAAAUUCAUCCAUCCAUUUCCAAAACUGUCCAAGAUCUUCGCUCUUCAGUUGGUAUGAGACCUGGGAUACACCAGUUUAUAUUGCUAACUCUUGUGUAUUUAUGAGAACGAAACGGGUGUUAUAAGAACUCAGCCCAGACUGGUCCUGGUGAAGGAAACUCAGCACAAAAGGAACAAUGGAAGAACCUGCUGUUUCAAUCUGAUGAAGUCCUUGAUGUUAAUUAGCAACCACUUGACUUGUGGCAGCAGAAACACUUGCUGCGCUGGUUAUGUCAGGGCUGGCUUCUACAAGGUUUGAAAGAAGAGAUGAUAAAUGUGAAUGCAGACCCAAGGUCUGCCUGUGAACACCACCGCAUGCCCUCUUGUAGAGUUGGACCUCUUUUACAUCCUUUGCCACUAUGUCCUGUUAGUGAUGAUGAAUAAAUGCUUGAAAUGUUA
Molecule: long non-coding RNA, 12701 nt
Organism: Numida meleagris (helmeted guineafowl)
Lineage: Eukaryota; Metazoa; Chordata; Aves; Galliformes; Numididae
Exons: 2
Source: RefSeq, a predicted model, not a curated record